CCUACGGGAUGCAGCAGUGAGGAAUAUUGGUCAAUGGACGAGAGUCUGAACCAGCCAAUUAGCGUGAAGGAUGACUGCCCUAUGGGUUGUAAACUUCUUUUAUAAAGGAAUAAAACGAGUCACGUGUGCCUUUUUGCAUGUACUUUAUGAAUAAGGAUCGGCUAACUCCGUGCCAGCAGCCGCGGUAAUACGGAGGAUCCGAGCGUUAUCCGGAUUUAUUGGGUUUAAAGGGAGCGUAGGUGGUUUGUUAAGUCAGUUGGGAAAGUUUGCGGCUCAACCGUAAAAGUGCAAUUGAUACUGGCAGUCUUGAGUACAGUAGAGGUAGGCGGAAUUCGUGGUGUAGCGGUGAAAUGCUUAGAUAUCACGAAGAACACCGAUUGCGAAGGCAGCUUACUGAACUGUGACUGACAUUGAUGCUCGAAAGUGUGGGUAUCAAACAGGAUUAGAUACCCCUGUAGUC
RNAcentral lists this ribosomal RNA (460 nucleotides) under uncultured bacterium. Its description in RNAcentral is "partial 16S ribosomal RNA". It matches the Rfam family "Bacterial small subunit ribosomal RNA", at positions 338 to 795 of the family's 1533-position model. The record is from RNAcentral.